Molecule: non-coding RNA, 22 nt
Filed under: Mus musculus (house mouse)
Lineage: Eukaryota; Metazoa; Chordata; Mammalia; Rodentia; Muridae
Also listed under: 1 other name
Source: RNAcentral
UGACAUCUGUCCCAGAGUUGGC